UGACGCCCUUGCACCUUCCCAGCUCCCACAGGCCUGGGCUCAGGGCGCUGCACUGCCCAACAGCACCUCAGGAAUGCACAGGGCCACCUGGGGCUGGCAAGAGAGGCUGGACCCCAUCAGGUCCUGGGAGCCCUAGGAUGAGUCUUGAUUUGUAGCCCAGACUGGACUGGAAUUUGCAACCUUCCUGACUCAGCCUCCUGAGUGCUGGGAUUACAGACCCCGAGCCAGGCUCUGGGCUACAGCUGGAGCAAGGACGAGACUUUGGCUUCAAGAAAUCCCUGGAACAAUAACUUGCAGCUGAGCAGCACAAUUGUUUAUGGUUUGUGGUCUGUGAGGCCCUUUUCCAUAUCCUGUCCCGUGAUCCUGGUG
RNAcentral lists this long non-coding RNA (369 nucleotides) under Heterocephalus glaber (naked mole-rat). Its description in RNAcentral is "lncRNA (ENSHGLG00100037107.1)". The record is from RNAcentral. Lineage: Eukaryota; Metazoa; Chordata; Mammalia; Rodentia; Bathyergidae.